Long non-coding RNA from Canis lupus familiaris (dog), 2267 nucleotides. RefSeq lists it as uncharacterized. The transcript has 2 exons. NCBI's taxonomy places the organism in Eukaryota, Metazoa, Chordata, Mammalia, Carnivora, Canidae. The record is from RefSeq and is a predicted model, not a curated record.
UUCUCGGCCAUGCCAGUCUUGGGACCCUCCUGAGCGGUGAUUUGGGAGGAAUAAGCAUCCAGGGGCUUGAAGUGAGCCCCAGAUCUCCUGGCAGGUGGGCCCAGACAGCCUAGAGGCCCCUCAGCCCCACAUUCUCGUGGCUCGAGGGUCUAAUGUUCUCUACUCUAAGAGCCAAGCCCCAGGGCUGAUGCCCCUACAGCAGCACACAUCACAAACAGAGGCGGGGACUUGGUGGGAAGUAGGGAAGAGCAGGGCAGCUGGGCUGUACCUGGGCACCCACCUGUGGGCUGCGGGGUGCUGGGGGCCAUAGGGGCCUGCCCAGUGGAUGUGGAGGGGGCAGGAGUGCUGGGGUCCCCUCUCAUGGCCACAGUGGCCACAGGGGCUUUGGGGAUGGGGUCUUUCUGGGGCCCGCUGAUGCCUGGCAAGAGAUGAGAAAAGCAAGAGGGUGGGGAGUUGGCAGGUGUGGGGGAAACACAGAGAAAUGACUUCUGGCCUCACUAAGUGGGCCAGCAUCCCCUCCAGGAUCCAGCUUCCUCUGGGACCCUCUCUGCCCCUCCAGGGGUCCCAGCAGGGAGCAGCCCAGGGUGGGCCGUGGCCCUCCCUCAAGCAUUUCUGAAAUAUAAGGUGGGCCACCAGCUGGCCUCUGACACUGACAAGUCCUCUCCUGCUGACUCUAAAAGCUGAUGGCAGAUCCCACCCAGGGGGAGGAUGCCAGGAGGAAGUGGGGUACCAGAAGUACCCCACUAGCCAGUGCCUGGAGCUGUGAGCACUGGAGGGCCAGCAGCUUGCUGACCACUUGUCAGCCUGCAGGCACCCCCGCCCAACCCUCCCUGGAGCCCCCCCCCCCCCACUCCGUCCCAUGGUCUGCCCCCUCUGAGCUGGCCUGCAGGUGGCAGGAUCCCGGCUUACCUGCAAGCUGCCCCAAGGCAGGCAAACCCCAAUGUCAGGCUGCGGGGGGGGCCUUCUGCCUCUGGCCAGGAAGAAGGGAUCCCCGUUCUUGCCCGAGAGGAGAGGGUGGCAUGGGGAGUUCACCCAGGGGUUGUGGGGCCCUUUCCAAAGCAGCACUGACCAGGAAGCUCAAGGGGAGAAGUGUGGGAGGUGCUGGCUGCAGGCCACAGCCAGGGGACAGGAGGGAGCAGGGACAGGCGACGGAGUGAAUGGGGUGCGAUGGGAGUCGUCAAGAGGCUCGUGCACCAGGGGCCUUCCCCAGGGCAGGGGAUCUGGAGCAUACUUACUGCCAACAGCUGAGCCUGCAGCAGCACCUGGGGGAGAGAAGGAGGGUCACAGGGCCUCCCCUGCAGGGGGCAGGGGGUGGCAGGGCUGGGGAUGGAGACCUAGAGGCCACAUGUAGGGCUGGCUCCGUUUAUCCCAUUUCAUCCCCACAGCCACCCUGAGAGGGAUGGGCUGCCUUACUUAGCUCAUCUGGCAGAUGGAGAAACUGAGUCUCAGAGCCAUGACUUAGCCUGGGGGACCUGCGGAAGCAUCCAGCUAAUUAUGAAAGAGGGAAGGUAGGAUUAGAAGGUCGCCAUGUAGCAGCCCCGCCACCCCCCACCCCUGCCUUCGUGAACAGCUCUAUGCUCUGAGCAUCAGCAGCCUGCCAUCUCACGGCGACAGCCGACCAGCCAGAGCUUCCCGACGCGAGGACACAUGGCACCCUGAAGCCGUUGCACCAAAACACCCUGAACCUGAACCUGAGGGAGCCUCCGCUUCCAUCUACGGAUUCACAGGAAACAUGGAAGGCAGAGGAACGAACAGAGCAACAGCAGCAGGACGCCGUUGGCCAAAUGCAGGCAGAGGGGACUCCAGGAGUGACGAGCCAGCUUCUUGACCAGCUGGAGUGCAGGAGGCCAAAACCAGUGAGGGAGCACCAGAUCAAAAGAAGCCUCAAAGGCAUCCGCUGACUGCAACCUCUAAACUCAAAUAGACAAAUGUUCACAAAGCAAUUGGAAAUCUGGAGACCGUAUUUGAUGAUCUUAGAUUAAUGCUGAUUAGGUGCGGGGAUGGCAGUGUGGUUAUGUUUUUUAAAGCCCUGCUCUUUUCAAGAUACACACUGAGGCAUUUACAGAUGAAAUGAUCUGGUGUCUGGGAUUUGCUUCAGGAUAACACGGAAAGGAAGACGGUGGCCGGAGAUGGGGAUGAAAGCAGGGAGACCACGAGUUGAUAGCUGGCCAAGUCGGGGGACAGGUAUAUAUGGAGGUCCUGUAUUUGCACCUGCAUGUUGGAAAUCCCCCAUAAUAAAAAGAAAGCCGGCAUUCUCUAGGUUCUGA